CAUGUAUUAUCGAUCACACUCCAGCCUUUUCCUGCAUACACACACACGCACACACCAUACAAAGCAAGCAACCACGUGCGCCAGCCAUCCCUGACGCGCGUACACCCCUCCCCUCCCUGCCGUCGCGUCGCACGUAGCGAAGAAGCACAGCAAGCGGAAAGCGCACAGCACAAACAAAAUGGAGCAUCCGGAGCACACCAACCAGCACCCGGAAGGGAACAACAACACCGAAGCGCCAGCGCCAGUGAAGGCGGAGGCCGCCGCUGCCGUAUCGGCACAGCAGAUCUCGCUGAAGGUCGUCAACGCCGACGGCGCGGAGAUGUUCUUCAAGAUCAAGCGAGGGACGCAGCUGAAGAAGCUGAUCGACGCGUACUGCAAGAAGCAGGGCAUCUCCCGCGGGAGCGUUCGCUUCCUCUUCGACGGCGCGCCGAUCGAUGAGAUGAAGACGCCGGAGGAUUUGGGGAUGGAGGACGACGACGUGAUUGACGCCAUGGUAGAGCAGACCGGCGGGUGCGUGGUGAGGCAGCUAUGAAGGUCGGCUUGUUUGUCUACGCGCAGCUGUGUCAAUCUCCACCAAACUCUCCCUCCUUCCCUCGCAACGUCCAUCGUGGCGCACGCGCAGCCGAAAUAGAUACACGUAACACAGAGAUUAAGCCGCGGGUCACAGAAGACAGAGGGAGGAAACAUGGGGGCGGGUGCUGAAGGAGAGGUGGCGGACGACGCGGAUAGCGUCGCCCUCGCCCCUUCCCCGACGCGCCCUGACCGGGACACCUCUCGCCCUCGCAUGCUCACCACCACCGCCCCGCCUCGCUCCCUCCUCCCCUCCCCCCGGUGGUGACGCUUGGUGCUUGGCUAAACCAGAAGAAAAGGAAGCUGUGAAGCAGGACGGCAAGGCACAGAGGUAUUCGAUGAGCAUCGGUUUUAGACAUCCGCAUAUGUGUACUCGUAUGCACGACGCGUGGUCUCUGUGCAUCUCUGUCUGUCUCUGUGUCUCUCUUUCUCUGCGUGUGUGCGUGUGCGUGUGUGUGCGGAGCCCAUGAGAGGGACCCGAGACAUUGCCGAACCGAAUACAGGUGCAUCCUUUCUUCAUCUGUAGUGGUGUUGGUGCGCCGUUUUCUUUUCUUCUUUGCCGAUGCCGUCGUUGUCCCCUCCCCCUCCCCAUCUGGAGGCUGUCUUUGUUGACGUUUCCGCGGCCUCACCACUGCACAGGUGGCGGCAGCUCCUUCUCGGCGUGUAUACGCUUGUCAGCGUGCCUCUCUGGCGAAGGGGUGUACGAGGAAGGGCAAGAAGAAGAUAGAGGCACCCACACUCCCCCCCCUCACAUUCUCUUCGCCCCUCCUCCGCCCAUCCCACCUUCCUGCGACGUCUGCCUGCGCAUCUGCGAUGGGUCUGGUGUGGCUCCGCCUUUCCUGUCUGCCUCUUCGGCACGAAGGCAACGGAAACCCCCUAAUUAUGCGGGAUCACCUCCGUGCGUCGUUUCAUACAGGGUCCAGUACCCAAAGUCGCGCUGUGGGAAGCCAAGCAGCCUGCAGCCCGCCCACCAGGUGCGUCGGUGGACAUGUCUGGGACGGCCGCUACGCCACAGAGACUUGCAGCCAUGAUCCUCGCGUUUGUGCCAGAUCACUACCAGUCAUGCCGGCGAUUCCGCUGAAAGGCAUUCUACUAUGAGAGUGCCCGACCCGGCGAUGUGCCCCAGUAUUCCACGCGCGACCCGCGGAUCGCGCGGAGCUCGAAGCACACCGCAUGGCACGCGGUGACCCUGCGCACAACGAUCUGAUUACACGCACAUCUCACUCGCGCUGCAUGGACUUCCCCCGUUGGGUGUGUGUGUAGCUGCCUCCUAUGCUCCCCCCCCCCCGAGGACAGCAUGCUGUGAGAUCUCUGUGCGCAGGCACGGGCCCCUUCCGCUUGGCACACCCACUCCUGGCAGAGGCAUGCGGAUUCAGGGGACGGUGGGAUGCCUCUGCUGCCCCAGACGACUGAUGCCCGCGUCCCACCUGUCGCGGCGCAUGCCGGCAAGCUGCCCAGGCGCGUACCCUCCCCCCCCCUGCCGUCGGUGGCAUCGAGGAAAAUGACAGAUGAAGACAACGAUCCAAGCAGACAAGGUCGUCCAAUCGGGUGGGCUGAUGAGACACAGAUGCCGAAACCACGGCACACAAGCAGAAUGUGCAGGGUUUCAGACGGCCCUGGCCUGGAGCUGGCCAGGACCCUUCUUGAGCUCAUGCGGCAUGCAUCAGGACCGUGGACGCAGCCCGCCCUGGACCCGAUGCGUGCCGUCCGCCCAAGCCUGUCUCCGGCACCGGCCGUACAGCACGCAUCGGAAGAACGGGCUAGGAAGGACAGGAAGAGCGCGUGCGACGCAUGGCCCCGAUUUGACAGGGGGACGGUUCGUCCCAGACGAGCCGGACGCGGCCGCGGCGCAGCAGAGGGCCAGGCGGAGCUGUAUGCGUGUGUAUGCAGUGCGUCUGCUUUGUUGUGAAUUGCUUGGUGGCGGCGGAGUGGACACGCUGGGGAGGGCGGGUACAAGAGUGGAAAAGCG
This 2539-nucleotide unclassified non-coding RNA is filed under the name Leishmania donovani. RNAcentral describes it as "gene:LdHU3.08.0540(CDS-product:small_ubiquitin_pr otein_putative)". Lineage: Eukaryota; Euglenozoa; Kinetoplastea; Trypanosomatida; Trypanosomatidae. The record is from RNAcentral.